Molecule: long non-coding RNA, 8779 nt
Organism: Bacillus rossius redtenbacheri
Lineage: Eukaryota; Metazoa; Arthropoda; Insecta; Phasmatodea; Bacillidae
Exons: 3
Source: RefSeq, a predicted model, not a curated record
UCCAAAUAAAAAAUAUAAACGUUUGUAUAUGAAAAAAAACACGAUCACCAAUGCAAUUAAAGCACAACGUGGUGGCUGCUGCUUUACUGCAUAGGCUAUCAAAUGUGAACUACUAGAGAAAAUUUCUGAGAAACCAGUAGGAAUUAAGAAACAUUGUUUGCAGGGUAAAUAGAGAAACUUCUUUAGUAGAAACAUUAAAAUUUCAUUAUAAUUGCAAUACAUUGUAAAUAUUAACUACUUUGAUUAUGAAUGUAGUACCUAUAUUGACUAAAGUUCUCGUAAACAAAAAACAGAGACCCACACUGGCAGUAUCAAUGCACAGGUAUUGUAGUGUAACCUAUAAACUGUGAUUACUCAAAAAGCAGUCAGAAUUUAGAAAAUCCGUGUACAAAGUAUUUCCCUAAUUUUAUUAUUUUAUUUACGAAAAAGCCGCCAUCUGAUAAUUUUACCAAAUUUUCGCUAAAUAUUUUAAUUCUGAUAAAUGUCACUAUUGUACCAACACCUUUAUUCAUUCCGCUGGACUGAUUAUUUUUUUAUAAAUUUUAACUAUUUAUUAAUUUUUCCUAAAUUGGUGGUUGAGUCGACCCAGGCGGGUUCAAACCUGGUUUACUAAGUAGGAAACCAGACAGGCUUUUCUCAGGGAUAACCACGUUACCCCUCCACACCCCAUCUCAUCUGUCUCAUUCCUCAGGCUGGCCGGUUUGACAGAUUGUUCCUCGGGCAGGGCAGCCGAUUCCAUCCAUGUGGACCCUGCCUCAGGCGGAAAACUACUUGUGGAUUCUCAUACCAUUCUGUAAAGACACUAUAAUAAACUCAACUAGGAAUCGCUUAAUAUGUUAGUGAAUUAUGUCUGUAUUGUAAAUAUGCUAGAGUAGUGGUUGAGACAGGAACAACAAAAAAAUUGUAAUAAUAUAAAGAAACUCUGCUAUUCUGCUAUGUGAGAGGUAACAGCAAGCAUGCAAUAACUUCUUUACAUUUUAGGUUUGAAUAAACAAAGUUCAACAAAAAAAUUACCUAAGAUGGGAUUUCUUUUCUCAUACCAGAAGUAAUAUGAAUACAAAAACAAGUGAAUGCUUACAUAGCCAUACAUUAUCAUUCUACAAAAUUGUGUUUAGUUUAGUCACAAAAUAAACAUCCUGUCUUCAGUUUACAAUUAAUGAAAAAUAACUUCUGUUUUAUUUAACUCAUUUAUUUUUUAACACCUUUUCAUUAUUUCUUGCCAACCCAUUAGUUGCUUAGCUUAACAUUAAAUUGCAAAAGGAUGCUGGAAAAUUUUAUUAAAAACACAAUUAUAUAAAGUAUGAAAAUUUAAUAUGUAACUAUGGAAAAGUAUAUUAAUUCCCAAAAUACAAAGUUGAAAAAAGAAUAUAAAAUGUGCAAGAUUGCGAGACUUGUAAAUGUUAACAAUGCCAUAAGAGUAAUUCCAAUACCAAAUCAACAGUUUCUGCAGCAAAAAUUCACUAUCCAAAAAUCUUAUUCGGUAAGGUGUUUCAUGAGACUGCUUUGCGCGCAGGAAACUGUGAAAGUCAUUUAAAUUAUGUGAGGGUUUUAAUUUUCCAUAAUUUUUAAAUUCUAUUUUAAAAUGUUUUUUACGGGAUAAUAAAAAAGAUCUGUCAUGCUGUUACAUCAUUUCUUUGUAGUUCAAGCAUUUUUCGAUUGUUGGCAGCCAUGCCCUAAAAAAAUUAAUAAAAUUUAUGUCCCUAUCUAACUUAACCACAACGGUUUGGUUAUAUAUAUUAGUUUACUAUGCAUGGCUAGAGCAAGUUACUAAGAAAUUAUGCAAGUUUUAAGUAUGCAGUACUAUGAAAAAUGAAAAGGGUACUUGUUCUUUUGGUUAUGACAGACUCUUAAAUUUUUCAGUGAUAUUCAUUGAAAAUCAACAAGCCUAAUGUGAAUAAGCAGAAAUGCUGAGUCAACUAAUCAGAAAAAUCUGCUUCCGCCAAUUUGUAUCGGCACAGAUCUGAUUAGCGCUUUUGACUCAUACUUGAAAGUUUGUUGAUUCAGUGCUCACCUUUUCUUGUAAUUAAAGAGGGACAAAGUAAAUCUUAAGCAGGAAUUAACAAUUUUAAACUAAUCAGUAUUUUAAAAUUUUAUUAAUGGGACUUGACAAGCUAGGUAAACAAAUUUCUUGCGUUACACUUUUUCUUUUGUUAAACUCUGUAACAUUUCUGCACAGUAUGUCAGUCAAUGCUAGAGUUAAGAGUGGUAAUGCCAGAUACCAAUUCCUUCACCACUUGAUCAGGUUUUUUAAAUUUCACUCUACAAAUGAAUAAAUUUGACAUCAGCAAUACAUAUAUACAAUUGAACUAUCUUUAUCGAUGGUGUUAAGUAGUUGGUAACAAAACAAUAAGGUGGAAAGUAGGUGCUAUUGUUGGUUUUAACUUCAGUUGGAAGCAAGCAUUCUAAUAGUUAAAUGAAAGAAAAAUUUGUUCUUAAAUUUUAGAAAGCAAACAUUAUUACUAUUAUAAGCAGGAAGUGCAUAAUUUGUGAUAUUUUAGUGAAAAUAGUUUUCCUGUUUCAAAUUCAGCUAAAACAAUUAUAAUUUUCCUCAUUGUGUAUGUAUAUAUAGUAAUUGUUUUAAACUUAAUGUAAUUUGGUUGUAUUUUAUGUACUAAAAGAAUUUUUUUUUGUUUUGUGUUGAAGGAUAUUCUUGCCUGUGUAUGCAACAGUUGAUAAAUGUUAUGUAAAGCAACUUAUGAUUAUCUUACUCAUUGCACUUCUCAGCCUAUGUAGCCAAGAGUUUUUAUUAUCAUCCUUCUAUAUACUUAAUAAUACAAUACAAAUAUUAUGUAUUAGAGUGGUAUUUAUUCAUGAAAAUCAAUUUAUUACAUCAUUGUAUUUUUUUCAAAAAAUAUGUACAUGACUAUUUCAAGUUAAGACUAAUCCCCUCGUAUCGCAUCAGCGACAUUUGACAGUCCCUGCAUCAAAAUUAUUGCUGCAGAUUCCACUAAUUUUGCGAGGGCAAUGUUACUAUCAGCAAUUUUAUGUUACGCAGGUCGCAAUGCUGUUCAGCUCCUGCACUUUCUCUGCUUCUGUGUUGAUCAGUAAUGCAGUUGCGUGCCUUCUCUUUAACUUUGGUGAAUUGCCUCCUGAAAAAUAAAUGAGAACUUUCUACAUACUAUGCUUUUAAAAGUACAAUUCAUUCCACAAAGUCAUUUGUGCCAGAAAAGAGAAAUGUGUGAAACAAAGAGGAUGAGAGAAAAGACAGUAAAAGAUUUGAAAUAUCACUCCCAAUAUCUUUGUAACAUUCUUAUUAUUCACAAUUAACUUAUGAACAUUUUAACCUACACAAUAACUUUUGUCAAAAUUUCAUUUGGUUAGCUAACCUGAUGCUCAGGAACACUACGUUUUAACAUGUUAAAAAUUAAACUGUAACAACAGCAGAGUAUCCUGUGUCAGCAAGUGGGGACCAAUCAAAAAUUUAACUUUCCAUGAUGAGGGCCUGGAAUUUUUCGCGAUUGCAAAUUUUGCUAAUUUCGCAUGAAAACGCGAAAAGUACAUUCGCGAAAACCACAACAUUUCUAUAUUACACUGCGAAUAUAUCCCCGAAAAGUACCAUUAUUUGCAGAUCACUAAUACUCGCGCAAGGUUAAAGUAACCUUUAACCCAAGUCUUGUAUUUUUACAUAAGCCAUGUUCGUGUAUGGUUUUGAUGCUCAAAAUUGAUCUCGGGCAUAGUUCGCACUAAGUUUCUUCUCAUUUGUGCGCCAGGGUUUGUUCAAGUGGCAACCCCGUGUUCCUCCACUCCAUUAUGCCAAUACCGUAUUUAUUGAAUGCAAGCAAACUAACUUUCGCAUUCUAUGAAAAAUAAAAAUAAUAUGAUGCCGAAUUCUAAACUACUGUGCACACUUGGCCGGAUAUGAGAACGUGUUUAUUGUACUUUGCGAAAAGUGUAUAAAAUGUUACAUCAAAGCAAAAGAGUAACCUAAUAUCUUGUAUUUAUCCAAGUUGCGUCAUAUACGGUAAAAUGUAAAAAAAAAAAAACCUGGUUUGUCCAAAUUAGCCAACAUAGCUUCUACUAACUUCUCCUGUAAGCAAAUGCUUCCUUAACGAAGAUCAUACAUUUCCCAGACUGUGAGAAGUUUUGUUUUGUGUAAAGCUAAACACAUAUGUUAGCGGCUAACGAAUUUAUCUAACCGUAGUUGUUUAUUUUGUGUAACUUCGUAAAUAGCAUAAGAAUAAGCAAAUAAUGAUUUUGCAGGUACGAAAUUAGUCUGCGCAGCGAGACUGGGAGUGUGCGGGCAUGCGUGACUAUCAUGCAGCCAGCAUCUGUUGUUGACGUCACGAGCCAGGACAGCGUUCCCAACGUAGUGGCAUACCACUGCUGAUAUUUAUUCACGCGCCAAGUUUAGUUGAUUGUUUUCGUAACAGCCUGUAUGUAGUAUGUUGCAACAUAUUUCUGUCUUGAGUUUGAAAAUGCUGAAUAAUACUUUGAGUGCUCGAGACAGAGCAUAUCAGUAUCAGAAACAUGGGUUUUAUUGUACUGACAAUAGCACAGUGAUGUGCAAAUUUUGCAACUGUAAAGUUUCAUGGGAAAGAAAAGAUUCCAUUGACAAACACCUAAAGUCGGCUAAGCAUGUGGCAUUGGCAGCCGAAAAAAAAGAAAAUUUAAGUUGCAAACAUCUAUAGCAACGUGUUUAAAUAGUGUAUAAAUUAGGGAAAAAACUGUGGAGCAUUUGGGUAAAAGUUUGACAAACAUUUGUGAAAGCCAACAUUCCACUAGAGAAACUGGAAAAUGAACAUAUGAAGAAGUUCAUGAACGAAUUCAUAGAAGGUAGGUAGUUAUUUCUUCUUUUACUACUUAUUUAAAUUGUGAUAAAAUAAAUUAUCCCGGUGUAUGUAUCCACAUUAUUUCAUAAAAGUAUAUAUUUAAAAGUUGGCCAUAACAUGCAACCCUUUAAUUUCUUACAGGAGCAGGUGAUAUUCCAUGCACAAAAGUGUUGCGUGAGAAAUACCUUCCGGCAAUUAGAACUGAGAGGGAGGAAAACAUGAAAGCCAAACUUUUCGGGAAGCAAGUUGCUGUGCUGUGUGACGAGACUACCGACAAACGAGAUACAGGGAGUGAGAAAAAAAACAACUUAUUUUUUCAAUACCAUGAUGGUGUUAAUGGUAUUCAAAUUGAGUAUUUUGGGGAGCCAUUUUCAGUUGAAAAGAGGGCAACCUUGCAGUGUUCACAAGGUCCCAAAUACUACAGUGCGAAGACUACUUCUGAUCAACUACCUGAUCACCCACACGGAACCAAAAAGAAGUUCUGGAUACAGAACACCAGAAAACUCGAUUGUCCAGCAAUGAUGCAUGUGAAAUGCAUAAGAGUGUACCCUGAAUUUGCUGCACCCAACACGGAGCGGAAGAAACGUGCUGUAAGUUAAAUACCUGAUACAUCUUUGCUUAGUAUAUAACCCACAGGCUAACAUCUAUUUUAAAUUACUGAGAUGUUAAAAUAAGAUUUUCAUGUAUACAAAUAACAUUAUCAAAAUUAUAUGAAGCCAAUGAUAUAAUUACAGCUUUUUUUAAGGUAAGCUACAUAUGUGAACUUCAUGGUUCCUACCUACAAAUAAUAUCACAUUUCUUAGUUAAAUUUUGUGUCAUAAUUACUAUAUUAUGGAACAGAAAAUGUAUUCAGAAUGAUAACAUCAAUCAAAGUUAAACACUGGUUUCUUUGAAAAAUGGUAUUGAAAUUACUGGUAAUUUUACUCUUAACAGUACACAUUUACAUGAUAAUUGUCGACACUAAGCUGUCUACUGUGUGUCAUUUAAUUUGGGAAAGAGAAUUAUUCAUUAAAAUAAAUGGAAAAAAUUACAGGUCUAAUAUGAACUGUAAAAUUCCAACACUUUAAUAAUUUCUUGUUUCAUGAGGUAGAUCAUUGUAUGCUAAAGGGAAUUUUUUAUUAUCUAUGUCUUACCUGGAUUCCAAACCUAGAACUUACAGUGCUGACUGAAAUAUUACUUGGAUGUACGCUUGUUCACCUAUUAAAUCCAGAUGCAUUAUUAAAAAUUGGUAUGCACUUUUGUACAUCUGUAUUGAAACGUAAGAGAUUUUUGAUGGUUAGCAAGUUGUGUAUAUACUGUAUACACAGUUGUAAAUAUGUAUUCACUUUGUCUAUGAAGUUAGUGUACAGUAUAUUUCAGCAGCAGAAUUCACCAAAUCUAUUAUUUACACCAACUACAUAUGUGCAAUGAAUGAUUUCUGUUUUCUUUCCUUCCAGCUUUCGUUUAUCACAUUGUAUGUAAACUAAUGUAUUGACAUUGAUUUCAGAUGCUGAAGAAACUGAAAGCAUUAAUGAAAAAUAAAACAGCUUUGAUAAGCUACCUUCGUUAUUAUAUAAAGUAAGUAGCCCUGAGAACCAUAACCACUCAACGAUUUGCACUCAACUCUCCCAGGAGAUACAUGGGGACCUGGUAACAGAAAUUAAGAGAUUAGUAAACGAAGGAAUUACAGCCAUUAGGGAUGUAAAGGCUAACAUAUAUUUUAAACUUGUUGCAAACAGAGUUCCCCUGUAGACCCAGUUUUGUAAAAGAAUCUGAAUUGUUUAUGAAGUAACAAUUUGUAUCAGUUCCACUAUAUUUCUAUGUGUAAAGUGCACUCUAUAUUAAAACAUACUGUACUGUACUGCAUAAGGAAAUUCAUUUAAUAAAUUACCUACUGAUCAAUACAGUAAACAUAAAGUUUAGUGGCUAAUUUUUUUUUACCAUACUUUGAUCCAUUUCCCACAGCUCUUUUAUAUACAUCCUGAUAGACAAUAGUAAUGGAAUAAUAGUGAUAUAUAUUAAUAAAUAAAAGGAAAUAAACUGCUUGACUGGCAACCUUUGUCUAAACCUCUUUAGAAGAAGUUAUAAGAAGUUAUCUCAAUAUUUGCCAGCUGAUUUCCCCUUCGAAUGUAAACUAGGUAAAUAGCAAAUCUGUUUGGAAUAUGACUCUCAUUAAUGAAAUUCAAGAUCUGCAUUAAUGCUAAGAGAAAUCUAUUCACUGUCCCCUUUUCUUCAUCCACUUUACAGCAUGUCACCAUAAACAAAUCUGUAACUAAAGUGUACCUAUUUUACAAGUUUCUUUCACUGAGAGCAUCAGAGAGUUAAUUGUGACAUUUUUGCUGGUGAAUAAUGACAUUGUUAAACCACACAUUAAAAUAUUUUGAUAAACAUUUUUAUUCAAAUAGGCAUCUUAAAAUUUUAUUAUAAAUACAAUGUUAUUAAAUAAGACACUGCACUAGUAAUAAAUCCUUGCUAAUUUACACAUGGUAUCCACUGCAGUUGAUGGAAAGCUAGUGUUCAUUUCUCCAUAUGCCUGCAACAAACAAAACUUAAUUACAAUAUAUUGUAAUUGUUUAAUGUGGAAUUAGAGAGAUAAGGUGAUUGACAACUUUAUAAAAUAAAUAUGGAAAUUUUUACAAAACACUACCUAAGUAUAAGGGUGUUCAUAAUUUUUCCUUUCACAUACAUGAUGAUUUCUGUGAAAUAUUUAUUGAAAAUUAAUUUACAAUACUAAAUAUGUAUUAAGCAUGCAAACAAUUUUAUUUAUUAUUUAUUUAUUAUUUAUUUAUUAAAAUUUGUGACAUGCACACCAACAGCCGAAGCUUUAGAGGUGUGCACAGAACAAGUAAUACAAACACGACACAUACAAGCGAAUAAAUACAACAUAAACAGGAUAAUAAAAGACGACACAUACAAGCGAAUAAAUACAACCUACACAGGAAAAUAAAGGACGACACAAUAACAAACAAAACAAAACAAAACAGCAACUGAGAUAAUUUUAACUAAUUGAUCUAAAAUUGGAAGAAUAAACAGGAUUAUAAAAUUACUCAGAAUAUUAGGGUAAUCAUAAAAAUUAAAAUUUGAAGUUUUUAAUAAAAUUUUCAUAUUUAUUGAAAUUUGAGAUAAGUCUGUAAAUUAAAUCAUUAUUAUUGUGUAAGGAACAUAAUAGGGAUCGAAGGCGGCUUUUGAACUGCGGGACUCGAAUACCAGAGUUAUCAAGUAAGUAUAAGCAAUUAAUUUUUGAACUAUAGCACUUAAACACAAACAGGGCAUCCAGAUGGAUGCGACGAUUUGAAAGAGAUUCUAAUUUGGGUAAUUGAUGGUGUCUAGAACUAAUUAUUUUGAAAAAUUUAUUUUGUAUGGAUUCAAUUUUGUCACUGUCGGUGGUGUUAAUACUGUUCCAGAUAACUGAGCAAUAUUCGAGUUUACUUCUAACUAAGGACAAAUAAAGAGUAAGAAUGGAUUCAAUAUUAGAUGCAUAGUAAGUUAUAUAAUUUAUUAAAUAUAAGGUUCUACGGGAAAAGGAUACUAAAGAAUUAACAUGUUGAUGAAAGAAUAGUUUGGAAUCAAGAAUAACACCAAGAUCUUUUAUACUAAGAGAUUUGGAAAUUUUUGAGUUGUCAAGAAAAUAAUCAUAUUUAACUGGAUGAAUUUUCCUUGUGAAAGAAAUAAUUUUUGUUUUAUCUUUGUUAAGUGAAACUAAAUUCAUUUUGCACCAAUUAUCGAUUUCAGUAAUAUCAGAUUGAAGAAGCAGACAGUCAUUUAAGGAGGAAAUUUCUCUGGAUAUUUUAAGAUCAUCAGCAAACAGAAAACCAGUAGUAUGAUGAAGAACUUUAAAAAUAUCAUUGAUAUAAAUAUUGAAUAAUAAGGGAGAUAAAGUACCCCCUUGAGGCACACCAGAAGUAGCAUGAUAUAAAGUAGAAGUUUUUUUAUUAAGUGAAACAAAGAAACAUCUAUCUUUAAGGUAACUAGUAAACCAGGUUAUAUAAUUAUUACAGAGACCGAAGUUAGAAAGUUUAGCUAGUAAAAUG